CAGAGGGAGGAAGACAAAAUGGGGGAAGGAAAGCGACGACAAGCCGAGACAAGGAUGCAGCUAGCAGGCAGAGGGAGAAGGAUGAUUCCGCAGGUGGAAAGAGAGGAGACAGGCUCAGAAAGGGUCUGUUCCAAUGAAGUGCAAAACCAUAUUACAUCAGCUUUCAAUCAAUGGCUCCCUAAAGACUAGAAGAGAUCCACUCAAAUGGAGCCAUGUUCAGGGCUGGAAAUAACAUUAUGCUAUUUCCCAGUCAUUCUGCUGUCCACAGAGGGUACGUUUCCA
Molecule: long non-coding RNA, 282 nt
Organism: Hemicordylus capensis (graceful crag lizard)
Lineage: Eukaryota; Metazoa; Chordata; Lepidosauria; Squamata; Cordylidae
Exons: 3
Source: RefSeq, a predicted model, not a curated record